CCUACGGGAGGCAGCAGUGAGGAAUAUUGGUCAAUGGGCGGAAGCCUGAACCAGCCAAGUAGCGUGCGGGAUGAAGGCCCUACGGGUCGUAAACCGCUUUUGCACGGGGAUAACACCCUCCACUUGUGGAGGUCUGCAGGUACCGUGCGAAUAAGGGCCGGCUAAUUCCGUGCCAGAAGCCGCGGUAAUAGGGGAGGCCCGAGCGUUGUCCGGUUUCAUUGGGCUAAAAGGGAGAGUAGGCGGGCGUUCAAGUCAGCUGUAAAAUCGCGGGGUUCAACCGCGCCCCGCAGUUGAAACUGGACGACUUGAGUGCACAACAGGCAGGCGGAAUUCGUGGUGUAGCGGUGAAAUGCGUAGAUAUCACGAGGAACCCCGAUUGCGAAGGCAGCCUGCCGGGGUGCGACUGACGCUGAGGCUCGAAGGUGCGGGUAUCAAACAGGAUUAGAUACCCCGGUAGUC
Molecule: ribosomal RNA, 459 nt
Filed under: uncultured bacterium
Lineage: Bacteria
Description: partial 16S ribosomal RNA
Rfam family: Bacterial small subunit ribosomal RNA
Source: RNAcentral